AGAGCGAACGCUGGCGGCAGGCCUAAUACAUGCAAGUCGAACGCACCUUCGGGUGAGUGGCGGACGGGUGAGUAACACGUGGGAACGUGCCCUUUGGUUCGGAAUAAUCCGGGGAAACCUGGCCUAAUACCGGAUGUGCCCUUCGGGGGAAAGAUUUAUCGCCAUUGGAGCGGCCCGCGUCUGAUUAGCUUGUUGGUGGGGUAAUGGCCCACCAAGGCUACGAUCAGUAGCUGGUCUGAGAGGAUGAUCAGCCACACUGGGACUGAGACACGGCCCAGACUCCUACGGGAGGCAGCAGUAGGGAAUCUUGCGCAAUGGGCGAAAGCCUGACGCAGCCAUGCCGCGUGAAUGAUGAAGGUCUUAGGAUUGUAAAAUUCUUUCAGCGGGGAAGAUAAUGACUGUACCCGCAGAAGAAGCUCCGGCUAACUUCGUGCCAGCAGCCGC
This 444-nucleotide ribosomal RNA is filed under the name uncultured bacterium. RNAcentral's name for it is "SSU rRNA". It matches the Rfam family "Bacterial small subunit ribosomal RNA", at positions 26 to 518 of the family's 1533-position model. The record is from RNAcentral.